UUAAUGUGUCUUGUAAUAAUAACAUUGUUAAAGAAAGGUCAAGGAAAUUUCAAAGUGGAUAAACUGAGGAAGAACAGAAUCUGUUAGAGAGAAUCUAUAUCUAGCGACCAUCGUCUCUACCACAUAUACAAGAGGACAAACACACACAAGACUAUCAAUCUCCUGUCUUUGUCCGCAUGUCGUCAAUGGCUUCUCUGAAGCUUUCACCUUCUUCGCCAAUCUCCAUCCCUAAGAGAAGCGGGUAUGUUGUUAGGAGAGGAGUAUCAUUUAUUGUUCGGUCUGAGCAAUCUCCGUCUUCCUCCUCUGAUCUUCAGGGUCUGUGUUUUCUUUACAUUUCUUGUUUGCAUUUUGAAUGUAAUUGACGAAAAGAUAAACCGUUUACAUAGUUCUUGUAUUUUUGUUUGUUCAAGAUAAAUGUGAUAGGAGGCGUCUGGUGGUAACAUUAGGUGUUGUGGCUCCUUGGAUCUCAUUGCUUUGUAAAGCUCCAGUAUCAUAAAGCAAAAAAGGAUUCAUGACUGUCUCUGACAAUAAGGACGCUUAUUCAUUUCUCUAUCCCUUUGGCUGGCAGGUUGAAAAAGCCAAUUUUCUCUGAAUGUAUUCACUUAUUAUUACACAAACACCACACACAAAGCUUUUUAACUUGUCAAAGAGAAGAAAAAAUCGGCAGACCAGACAACGUAGCACCAGCGUCAACAAUGUAAACAUUCCCAGAGACAUACCUGGAAGAGUCAUGAAUCAGAUACCUAACCAGCGAGGUAAGCCCCGGGUCCACACUCUGCUGCACCUUCAACGGAACAAUCCUCUCCCUCACAUUCUUCAUCCACUCUUUCCUCAUCAGACCUUCCGUGAUCUCCGACUUAAACAGCCCCGGGGCUAUCGAGUUCACUCUUAUACCAUACUCACCCAGCUCAACCGCCAUCAUCUUCGUCAUAAUAUCAAGACCUCCUUUCGAACACGCGUACGCCAACCCGCCGGGUAGCUUCCCGCGCUGAAGCCCCGCGAUGGAGGAAACGUUUAUCACCGAUCCUCCGCCGCGGCGUUUGGCGUCGCGCAUCAGAACGCAGACGUGUUUUGAUACUAGCCAAGGUCCGGUUAGGUUUGUUCUGAAGACUCUUUCCCAUUCUUCUUCGGAUAGGUCCAGACUCGACUUGACGCUGCCUCUGAUGCCUGCGUUGUUGAUCAAGACGUCGAUGUUUCCGAAGAUGUCCCAAGCUUGUUUGACUGCGUUUUGGAUGGUGGAUGAGUCUGAGGAGACGUCUAGCUCGAGAGGUGCGGCUUGUUUGGUUUUUGUUGGGGAGAAUAAGGCGUUGAUCUCGGAGCAGAGGGAUUGGAGACGGUCAAGACGGCGAGCUGCUGCGAUGAUCUUGCAGCCGGAUUUGGCUAGAUCGAGGCAGAUCUCUCUUCCUAUGCCGGAAGAAGCUCCUGUUAGAAGAACCACUUUGUCUUUGAGCUCACACCAUGGCUCUAGUUGCUUCAUCACCUGCUUUUUGGAUCAAUAAAGACAGAAACAUUUGAAUGGUAAUGGUGUUACAAAGAUAAGAGAUCUCAUCAACGUUGUAUCUUACAGUCUGAUGAUUGCUGCUCAUAGUGUUUCUCAGUGUGAAGCUGUCUCUUUCUCUGAA
Molecule: RNA transcript, 1622 nt
Organism: Brassica napus (rape)
Lineage: Eukaryota; Viridiplantae; Streptophyta; Magnoliopsida; Brassicales; Brassicaceae
Gene name: psbP-like protein 1, chloroplastic
Exons: 3
Source: RefSeq, a predicted model, not a curated record